This 72-nucleotide transfer RNA is filed under the name Camelus bactrianus (Bactrian camel). It matches the Rfam family "tRNA". From Rfam's summary of the family: Transfer RNA (tRNA) molecules are approximately 80 nucleotides in length. Lineage: Eukaryota; Metazoa; Chordata; Mammalia; Artiodactyla; Camelidae. RNAcentral also lists the same sequence under 2 other names. The record is from Rfam by way of RNAcentral.
GGGGGUAUUGCUCAGUGGUAGAGUGCAUACCUAGCAUGCACACGGUCCUGGGUUCAAUCCCUGGUACCUCCU